CUAAGGCGAGGCCGAAAGGCGUAGUCGAUGGGAAACAGGUCAACAUUCCUGUACCUGUUGCUGCUGCGAUGAGGGGACGAAGAAGGCUAGGUGGUCCGGGUGUUGGAUGUCCCGGUUCAAGCAUGUAGGGAGUAGCUUUAGGCAAAUCCGAAGCUGCAAUCCUGAGAUGCGAUGACCAUGCUCUUUAUUGAGCGGAAGCCGCUGAUGCCAUGCUUCCAGGAAAAGCCUCUAAGCUUCAGGCAGCAAGAGACCGUACCCGAAACCAACACAGGUGGACAGGGUGAGAAUCCCAAGGCGCUUGAGAGAACUCUGGUGAAGGAACUAGGCAAAAUAGCACCGUAACUUCGGGAGNNNNNNNNNNNNNNNNNNNNNNNNNNNNNNNNNNNNNAGAGGAAGUAUAGGGUGUGACGCCUGCCCGGUGCCGGAAGGUUAAUUGAUGGGGUUAGCUCCUUCGGGGGCGAAGCUCUUGAUCGAAGCCCCGGUAAACGGCGGCCGUAACUAUAGAUUGUUGUAGUUACGCAAAUAAACUUGGCUAUAUGCUGGAAACUCCGGUGUAUCCGCUGGUACUCGCUCGGAAUUGCCGAGCAGUGACAAUCCACGCGGUGCGGACAAUCAGCAGGAAAGGCUUCUGGUAUGACUUCACUGAACGUUCAGGAGAUUCCUGACCGCAUCGGCUAUUACCUCGCGGGUUUUGCCGAUGGCGAAGGAAGCUUCAACCUCUCAUUUCGAAAACGUAACGACUAUUCCAUGCCAUGGAAGAUAUCGUUGUGUUUCAACGUGUCACAGAAAGACAAGGUCAUUCUGACCUUAUUCAAACGACAUUUGAAAUGCGGCACGUUGCGGGUGAGAGACGAUGGCGUUUGGUACUACGAAGUCAAUAACUUCACGGCGGUUCGAGAGAAUGUCAUUCCGUUUUUUGAUCGGUUUGGGUUUCUGUCUGCAAAGAAGAAACGCGACUUUGUGAAGUUCAAGCAAAUCGCAGAUCUGAUGUCAGAUAGAAAACAUCUCGACAAAAAUGGAAUAAAAAGAAUUCUCGAAAUCCGCAAGACAAUGAAUGAUGGCGGAGUCGGAAGACGAAAGUACUCCGAUGCCGAAAUUCUGGGUCUGAUGAAGUCGGAAGAAUCCUCAGAGACUACACGCCAAGCACGAUCCAAUCGCUAAACCGAUGCCGUCUGAUUGGAAAGUGAAGAUAUAGUCCGAUCUGCAUAGCGAUAUGCAGGAUUCAAAUCAGAAAUCUUGCUACCGUUUGAAUCCAACCGGUCUCACGACCGGGGGUAACGAAGGAUGAACGGUCCUAAGGUAGCGAAAUUCCUUGUCGGGUAAGUUCCGACCUGCACGAAUGNNGCACGAAUGGCGUAACGAUGGCCACACUGUCUCCACCAGAGACUCAGUGAAAUUGAAAUUGCUGUGAAGAUGCAGUGUACCCGCGGCAAGACGGAAAGACCCCGUGAACCUUUACUACAGCUUUACACUGAACUUUGAACAUGCUUGUGUAGGAUAGGUGGGAGGCUUUGAAGCGAGGACGCCAGUUCUCGUGGAGCCAACCUUGAAAUACCACCCUGGUAUGUUUGAGGUUCUAACCCAGGCCCGUUAUCCGGGUCGG
RNAcentral lists this ribosomal RNA (1603 nucleotides) under Gammaproteobacteria bacterium. Its description in RNAcentral is "partial 23S ribosomal RNA". It matches the Rfam family "Bacterial large subunit ribosomal RNA", at positions 1391 to 2248 of the family's 2925-position model. The record is from RNAcentral. Lineage: Bacteria; Pseudomonadati; Pseudomonadota; Gammaproteobacteria.